This 253-nucleotide ribosomal RNA is filed under the name uncultured bacterium. RNAcentral describes it as "partial 16S ribosomal RNA". It matches the Rfam family "Bacterial small subunit ribosomal RNA", at positions 524 to 776 of the family's 1533-position model. The record is from RNAcentral.
UACGUAGGGUGCGAGCGUUAAUCGGAAUUACUGGGCGUAAAGCGUGCGCAGGCGGUUCUGCGUGUCUGAUGUGAAAGCCCCGGGCUCAACCUGGGAAUGGCAUUGGAAACUGGCGGACUAGAGUGUGGCAGAGGGGGGUGGAAUUCCGCGUGUAGCAGUGAAAUGCGUAGAGAUGAGGAGGAACACCGAUGGCGAAGGCAGCCCCCUGGGCUAACACUGACGCUCAGGCACGAAAGCGUGGGGAGCAAACAGG